AAAGAUCCAAACUGGCUGUGAGGCCUGGCAUUGCCCUGGGCCCUGACAGUGCCUCCAUUUCCUCUCCUGUAGUGAGGAUUAGAGGCAGUGAGGCAUGUCCACAUAGUGCCUGCAUCUUCUAUGGCUAGUCAUGAGAAGGAGUGGGCGAUGAUGAUGAUGAUGAUGUAAUAUAUGGGAAGGACUAGACAUGUGUGAAGGCUGGAGAGAGCCACAGGAAGGGGCUCCAGCAGGGAGUGAGAAGGCAGCAGGAACUAUGUUAGAGUCAAGGGCAGAGCUGCUCACUCUCAGCACUUGGAGGAGGUCUGGUUGCCUAGUGGGUAUGAAGGACCACUUUGGGAAGGUUGCUGAGAGAGAGGCCUGAAGACUCUGAAUGGAGAAUAGUGACUCGGGCCCCUUGGUACAUUUAAUGGAGAGGGUGAUUGGCCAUUCCCAGGCCAUAGGAAAAGGGAAGAUGGCCAGAGGACAUCCCUGUCCUCUCUGCUAGCCAGGGGCUGCAAUGGGCCCUGGAGGCCAGUGGGCAGGCUGGCAGGAGGGUUCUGAGGGGGUCUGCCCCACCAACACCUCCUGGUGGGCUGGGGUUGAGGCUUCAGCUGAAGAGGAAGCAUCUAAAACACAGUGGCCAGUCCCCAGAGCCAGGCAUGCCCCACCCUUUCUCCUUCCCUCAGUCAGUUUCACUUUUGUUUUCACUGGGUUUCUGUUGUUCUGCCGGAAGGCUGCAGAAGGCAGUCACAGGAGUCCUGGUUGAAGGCUUGGGUGGCAGGAGGAUUGUAAGUGUGGAAUAUGGGGCCACCCAUGAUGGGGCAGCACCGAGGGGUUAUGGGGGAGGGACCCAGGGAGGGAGCAGGAGGGGUGGAACAUGCCUCUUCCCUGUCUGUUCCAUCCCAGGGUUUUGAUGGCUGAGGUGGAGGAAGGGGCAGCGGUAGAGCUCCAGGGACUUCCCCCUGACAUGCCAGAGGAACUGCUCAUGCUGUACUUUGAGAACCGCCGGCGCUCCGGUGGGGGGCCUGUGUUGAGCUGGCAGAGACUUGGCUGUGGGGGUAUCCUUACCUUUCGAGAGCCUGCAGGUGAGGGAGCUGGCUAAAGGGGGCAGCCUGGGAACCCUGAUACCCUAAUGACACUGACGUCCCACCCCUGCUCACAGAUGCCAAAAGGGUCUUGGCCCAGGCAGAGCACCGACUACAUGGUGCCAGACUGAGCCUGCACCCAGCUCCACCACGCGCCCCUGCACGUCUGCUUCUCCAAGGAUUACCACCUGGCACUGUGCCACUGCGCCUGGAGCAGCAUGUCCAGGCCCUGCUGAGUGCCAUGGGGCACCCAGUGCAGUCCUGCCAUGCCCUGGCCAGUCCCAGGCCUGAUCGGGCCCUGGUCCAGCUGGCCAUGCCCCUUUCUGAGGCAGGUGAGAGGCCUGAAUGGGGCUGAGGUGCUGGUUAGGGGAGGUACACCAAGCUGACUUGCACCCUUCCCACAGAAAUUCAUGUCCUGGAGGAACAGGCCCGGAAUACGGACCUGGAUGGGGCUAUGGUGUCAGUGACCUGGGUGCCUCAGGCCCGAGCUGUGCGUGUGGUGAGGGGCACACCCCCUUUGGACAUGCUGCUGCUAGAGUUGUACCUGGAGAAUGAGCGCCGCAGUGGUGGGGGGCCCCUGGAGGGCCUGCGCAGCCUGCCGAGACAGCUGGGCACUGUUGUCUCCUUCCAGCAGUGGCAGGGUGAGUGGGCUGGGCAGACACAUGGGACCCUUCCUCUUUCACAAAAACUUGAUAGGCUUUCUGUCUUCUUUCCUCCAAGUGGCUGAACGGGUGCUGCAGCAGGACCACUGGCUGCAGGGCUCAGAGCUGAAACUUGUCCCCCACUAUGACAUCUUGGAGCCUGAGGAGCUUGCUGAGGGCACCAAAGGAAAGGAUAACCCAUCCAUGCUGGGAUCUGAGCAUGCUCUCCUGGAGACUAGAGGGCUGGCAGAAACCCUGAAGUGUGCAGGGGCUGUGACUGUGGGUUCUGGGGAGGCACCAGGGCAAUUGGAAGCCUUUCUGAGGACAGGUCUUCAGGCUGUGCCAGUUGGCUUGGAUCCCGUGGGAUGUCCAGAGCAAGAGGGGCCUAUGGGAUCUCUGGAGCAGGAAGGGCCUGUGAGCUUGGGGACUGUGGGGUCUCCAGAGCAGGCUGGGCUCAUGAGUCUGGGGCCUAUGGGGUCUGCAGGCUCAGUGGGCCCAGUGGAGGUCUCUAUGGAGUUGCUGGGACAAGUGAAGCUCAAGGGCCAGAGACCCAUGGGGCUUCUGGCACAGGAGAGCCUGAUGGAAGUUGCCAGGGGCUCACCAGGUCAGGAGGGGCUGGUGGGUCCAGAAGAGAUUGCCCUGGAAUCUGCAGAGAAGGUUGGGGUGAAGAGCCCUGGGCAUAUGGGGCUUCAGGGUCAGGAGGGCCUGGUAGAGAUGGUGUUAUCGAUGGAGCCAGGAGCUAUGCGCUUCCUACAGCUUUAUCAUGAGGACCUUCUUGCCAGCCUGGGAGAUGUCGCUCUUUUCCCACUUGAAGGAAUGGAGGUGACUGGCUUUCGGGUGAGUGACCCAUAGAAAUUCCUCACUUUUGCCUCCUUUUCCCACUGGGGCUCUGGGUACCUUUCCUGUACCCUGAAUCUGCAUACUGUUCCUCUCUCAUGGUCCUGCAGCUCUGUGGAGCCCAGGCCUCAUGCCAGGUGGCCCAGGAGUUGCUGCAGAGUCUGCUGGGUAGCAUCAGCUGCCAUGUGCUGAGCCUGAAGCACCCAGGCAGUGCCAGGUUCCUGCUGGGUGUGGAGGGGCAGCACCUUUUGCAGGGUUUGGAGGCUCAGUUCCAGUGUGUCUUUGGGACAGAGCGUCUGGCCAGUGCCAACCUGGUCAUGGACCCUGAAGAGGUAGAGAUGAAGUUCUUCCCUAUCUCUCUCCUGUCUUACUCUCCAGCUCCAGGUACCCCCUCUCCCUUGCCCAAAGGCUAGUGACCCUGAUAUCCUUUCCCCACAGGUGGAUUCCACUGAGAUCCUUCAGGUCCUCCCUGGCCACAGCCAUACCUGGUGGCCCACAGAUAGUACAGGCAGUGACCAGGAGAACAUGAGCCUGGGUAGGGCUCCCUGGUAGGGGCCCCCAGCAUGUCCUGUGGUCCUUUUUUGACCCUGCUCUCUGCCUUGCUCUGAACUCUUACCUCUCUAGUGACCCUUCCCAGGCCCAUCCUCUACCCUCAAACUCACUCCAUCUUUCAUCCAUUCCAUCUCAUCCUGUUUUUCAAUACCAUCCUGGCUGGACCUGACUCAUGACCCAGUGUUCUCUCCCUACCCUCAGAGGAAGUCCGAGAGCUGCUGGCAACCAUGGAAGGCUUCGAUAGGGAGAACUGGUUGUCCCUGGAGCUGGGAGAGGAGGGACCUGAGGACCAGCCAGAAGAGGCAGCAACUUCAGGGAAGGAGGAUGAAGAACCCACACCUGGGGCUGGGGAGAAGCCUGUGAGCCUCAGCACUGGGGCAGCUGGGCAGCUAGAGGAGGAAGCUGCACUGCAACUGGCCCUCCAUCGGUCACUGGAGCCUCAAGACAAGGUUGCUGAGCAGGAGGAAGCUGCUGCACUAAGACAAGCCCUGGCCCUCUCCCUUUUGGAGCAACCCCUGUUGGAAGCAGAAGAGUCCCUGAAUGGAGGAACUGGUAGUGGGGCCCAGCUGGUGGUGCAUGCACCCUUUGAGCAGGAUAUAGAUGAGUUGGAACAAGCAUUAACAGCUGCCUUGGAGGUACACCUGAAUAAGGAGACUGUGAGACACCCAGGCCGUGUGCUGCCCACAGAGCUGUGUGCUCGCCUGGGGCAGUGCCAUGGUGUGAAUGUUGCCCUGCGUGGUGAUUGCACUGUCUUUUGUGGCUUUGGAGCCCAACCUGCCCGUGCGGCACGCCACUUCGCUGUGCUACUUGCUGGCCCCUGGGAUCAGAGUUUGGCCUUUCCCUUGGUGGCUUCAGACACUACUUGUGAGUCUGUGCUUUGGACUAGGAGAGGGCAGGUGGCUGACUAUUGGGCUAGUGUGUAAGCAUGGCCCUGAUGUCCUUUCUUUCUACAUAUCAGUGCUAGAACAGAGGCUGAAAAGGCCACUGGGAAAGCUGGAGGGCCUGGAAGAGAGCACCAAGGAAUUCCAAAAUGUGGUGAAGGCUUUCUAUGACACCCUGGAUACUGCCCACAGCAGAAUCCGCAUCAUACGGGUGAGUCUAUACUCUGUCUCACAGGUCUCGGUGAGACUUGCCUGCAUCAGAGUCUGCUGUCCAGGACCUGCUCAGCAGACAGGCUAGAGACUGAGGUAGGGACAGGAGAGCACUGGGGCCUGAGGGAGGCUCUCUGCAAGGAACUAUGUGAGAUGCUCUGUACACCUCAGUUUCCCUGCCUGGACUAUGGAAUGGUGAUGCUCUCUUGACCACUGUGAGAGCUACUUAUUCCCAUAAAUGAGUAACUUGUCCUGUUCUAGGGGCUCUUCUGUCUCCAACUGGGGCCAGGGCUCCCUGCAGUGUGGUGACCUCUUCUUGGCUUGUUUGUUUGUUUAUUGUGAGGCUAGGGAUCAAAGUCAGGGCCUCCAGCAUACUAGACAAGUGCUCUACCACUGACCUACAUCCUCAGCCCCUUUUCUUGUCUUCUAACUUACUAAAUUUGGCAACCCUGAAAAUGGACUUGUUUUCAAAAAAGGCUGGGAAAAAUUGGUGGGGAGUUAGAGUGAAGCCCCAGGAGCCACUACCUGUCCAGGAAGGUGAAGAAGAACCAAGAAGGAGGGACUAGAGAGACCAGAGAGGUUUACAGAAGACAUAGGUUGGGGCAGGGGUGCACAAGAUGAGUAGGAACCACAAUAUCUUCCCUGCCCAAAGGAAGGACUAAGGAGGGAGUGUUGGUCAGGAUGGUCUAUCAGGGAGUUAGUGUGGGGAGGGGGCAAAGAGUAAAUGGGGGAUGAGGGCAGGAACAACUCUGGAAAUAGGCUGGGUAAGAGGGAGAAGGAUAGAGAUAGAAGUAGAUAGAAGAAGUCCAGGGUUGAAGAAGUUUCUGAUCCAGAAAACAGUGUGCUCAUAACUGAGGGAUGAAUCCAAGAGAGGGCUGGCCAUAGACAGAUGAGAAGGACAGAGGAGAGCUUGAGUCACUGUGCUGGUAAGCCUGGGCAGAGAGUUCUCCCCUCUUGAUGCUCAGUUAUGGGUACAGCCAGCAGCAGCAGCCUCCACCUAGAGCUGGUCAUAAAUGCAGAACCUCUGGUCUUCCCCAAGGUUGGGGAAGUCACCUACAACCUGACCUACUUACCCACUUCCAUCACCAUUACCACCACCACCAUCACCACCACUACCAUCAUCCCACCACCACCACCACCAUCCCACUGGUGACAGUUACCACCAUCACUGUCACCACCAACAGCAUUCCACUAGUACAAUCACCACAAUCACCACUAUCCCACCACCACCACCAUCCUACCACUAUAGUUAUAAAAAAUAGAACCAUAGUAAGUAAAGUAAAUGAAAUCCUAUUAUUAAAACUACUGCAUGAAAGAAAGUGUUCUAAGCUUAUCUUGUGAUUUUUUACUUCAUUUUUUUUCUUGGUUGUGCUUGGCUGCUAGGGUACUUUGUGCCUCCUCAAUACCCUCUUUUUGGAGGAAGGGGUACCAGGGAUUGAACUCAGGGCACUCGACUCCUGUGCCACAUCCCCAGCCCUAUUUUGAAUUUUAUUUAGAGACAGGGUCUCACUGAGUUGCUUAGAGCCUCGCUUUUGCUGAGGCUGGCUUUAAACUUGUGAUCCUCCUGCCUCAGCCUUCAGAGCCGCUGGGAUUACAGGUGUGCACCUCCGAGUCUGGCUUGAUACCCUCUUGUGUGAAUUCUGUUCUUGAGUAAGGAGUAUCUCUGAGUGGGUAGUGAACAUUUUGACUUUUAAGUUUAAAAAUAACUUUUAUAAUUAGAAGUAUUUUACAAUUCUAAUUUGAGUUGAUAUAAACUUUCUAUGUUGUUAAAUGUUCUAACUUGUCUUUAUUUCUACAUUCUUCAUUAAUAAUUUUGCUGGGAUACACUGUUCAGGUUCAAAAGAUAUUUGCCCUCAGACUUUUGAAGACUUUGCUCUUUUUUAAAUUUUAAGAUUCUUUUACCCUACAAACUUAAAAACAUAAAUAUCUCCAUGGUUUCUUAGUAUCCAGCAUUGGUGAGAUACUCAAUGUGAGAUUUCUUCCCAUUUGUACAUUAACCUUGAUAGUGGGUGUGUGGGUGGGUGGGGUGUGGGUGUAUACAUUUGAUAAGUUUUCUUCACUUCAAGGGUAAGAUUUUCCUGUCAGGUGCCAGGAAUAUGUCCUUCACAUUGUCCUUCGUGGCAUUUCAUGGGUCCUCCCAUCUGGAGAUGUUACCUUUCUGCUCGUCUUCCAUUGUGUUCCCAGGAGCCCCCACUCUUGCCUGUUGUCUUUUCCUGGAGCUCCUGAGAGGCAGAACUUAGACCUCUUCCACUUGCCUCGCUCCCCGUGUGUUGUUUCCUUCUUUUCCUUUAGCUCUGCUCUCUGCAUCAAUUACUUAUUUCCAUGUAGAUCCUCUAGCUGGAUCUUUAGCUCUAACCAUUCCAUUAUCUGGCCCACCCACAGAAGUUAGCUCAGCAUUCUUGUUCUUGGCCUCCUUCUUCAUACUAGGGGAUCCAACCCAGGGCCUCCCACAUGCUAGGCCAGUGCUGUUCUACUGAGCUGCAUCUUCAGCCCAGCAAUCUCAUUCUUAAUGUAAGAACUAUUUCUUAUUUUUAGACUUUUUUUUUUUUAGCAUCUAGUCUUGUUUUAUGAAUGUAGUAUUGUUUUGAUUGCCUCUGAAGCAACUAAUUAGAGUUUCUUUAAAAGCUGUAUUUGGGUCCUUGAGUUUGUUACUUUAGGGCUUGGUCACUUCAGGCCUUCUCUCCUGCCUGGGUCUUCUAGAACUGAGAGGGCUGUGGCAUCUGAACGUUGGGAGUACUGCUGAGGGCAGUGUAGGCACCUGGCUAGGUUUUAUGCUCCAGAGGUCUGGCUGUGCGUCCUGCGUUCAGGUGAUCCUGUGGAGUUUGUCCACCUGCAGACCUCUCUGCAGGAGUUAGACCUCCCUGGAGGUGUCAGGCCUUCCUAGAAGUCCUGGGAUGCCACUUGCUCCCUAAUGGAGGUAGUUUAUGUCUGUGGCUGGACAGAGAAUGAGGGGGCUGCAAGGUCUCCCCCUAAAUUUUCCACCAAGGGGCUCCUGAUUGCUGACCUCAGCUUUUCCUGGGCCAACCCACAGGCAUAGGAAAUAACUGCAAGAAAUAACUGCAAAUAGCCUGGCUCUGACCAUCUCUCACCUGAUAGGUGGAGCGUGUGUCGCACCCGCUGCUGCAGCAGCAGUACCAGCUGCACCUGGAGCGCCUUGAGGAACGCUGCGUGCAGCGCCCUGUGGAGCGGGUCCUGUACCAUGGCACAUCGGCCUCCGCAGUGCCGGACAUCUGCGCGUUCGGUUUUAACCGCAGCUUCUGCGGCCGCAACGGUUAGGCCUAGGCUGGGCAGGGCUGGGGCUCCAUCAACCCCCAUCACUCUGACCUCUGCCGCUUCCGCCUUGCAGGUACGCUCUACGGGCAGGGUGUGUACUUCGCCAAGCGCGCCUCCCUAUCCGUGCAGGACCGCUACUCGCCUCCCAAUGCUGACGGCCACAAGGCGGUGUUUGUGGCACGGGUGCUGACGGGAGACUAUGCGCAGGGCCGCCGCGAUCUGCGGGCACCCCCUCUGCGGCCCUCUGGCCAUGUGCUCCUGCGCUACGACAGUGCUGUGGAUUGCCUCCAUCAGCCCAGCAUCUUUGUCAUCUUCCACGACACUCAGGCGCUGCCCACUCAUCUCAUCACCUGCGAGCACAUACCCCCGGCUUCCCUUGGGCUCUCGAGUCCCUCUCUGGCCACCUGACCCAAGGGGUUAGCCUGUGGCCUGCUGCUCUACAGGUUCCCCGUUCUACAAACCCCCCUUUCCUCCCUGGGGACGUUCCUGCUUCUUGUUGGGGAGCAGGAAUCCAGGCCGACCCGGAGGGCUGGGUCGGCCCAACCACCAGGGGUCAGCAAAGCCCAGCAGGAGGGUGCGCCGGCCUGACACGCCCGUCUUGGCUGGACCUCGUCUGAGCGCUUCUGUGUCUCUGAAUAAACGUGAAACCAGGCAGAACCUCCUGGCGUUCGGAAUCAGACCUCUGGAGAGUGGGGGUCUCCGCGUAGCCAGGGGUGGGGUCGAACGCUCCUGGGGGCAGCUGUUGGGAAACCCACUGAAGCUGCAGGGCGGAGCCCUGAGCACUCGAACCCCACGCCGCCCUAGAGUCGCUCACGCUCGCCCAGGAGCGUCUCCUAGCCGACCUGCACGCCCUGCACGCACAGUGAGCACGUUGCCGGCGCAUCCGCAGGCUCGGGUUCCUCGGCCUCGGUGACCCGCCCCGGCCUCGCGCGCGCGGAUCCCGGUCACGCUGGCCUCGCUUGCCAGCUCUUGACGGUGCCCGCGCAGCUCUGUUCUCAUUCGGGGGCCAGGGCGGGGCUCCAGACUCGCCCCGCCCGCGCUGCCUCCACGGCUCUGUCGGCCCCAGCAGUCAGGCUGCGGCGGCCGAGCUGAGCCCAGCGGAGCCACUAGGCACGUAGGACCGGGCGGGGAUGGAGAGGCGCGUAGCGUGCGGGAGUUGAGGAUUUGGGGCGGGUGGGGUCUUGGCCGAAUGUCUCCCGGAACUAGGGGCUGUGUUGCAACUCAACCUGCGCUGUCGCGGAAGACACCACCUCCCAGCGCGCGGGAGUUUGCGGAACUGGACCGGCGGUGCGGGGAGCGUGGGUAGGAAACGCUGCUGCGAAGGCUUUGGCUGCCGCGGACCUCUGGGCUGGGGGCUGGCGCGGGGGGCGGGGGCACCCCGCCCCCGGCUCGGUGCCCGCAGUCUUCUCCCCGCCCUUAGCUUAAGGGCGGAGGCACAGAGCCCACAUUGUGCCCCCACCCCACCCCUCCCCUGCCGAGACAGAGCCCCAUUCACCUCUCACACGUCAGUCUUGUGGAUGGGAGCUGGGGCGUGUGCACGCGUGGUAUGCGUGCACUCCCGCUGCGCCUACAGUGAGCAGGGUGGGCUGCAGGAGCGGCGCCCCGCUACUCCAACACCCACCCCACCCCCCAAUCUUGCCGCAGUGGAGCUUCGGCGGCCCACGCCGCUGCGGCUUCAGUUAUUUAUAGGCCUUCGCUGCGGAGAUCCGAGAUCUAGGUGGGACUGUGCAGGGCUGGAGGUGGGGUGGGAUGGCGUGAUGGGGAGUCCUAAAGACAGCUUGGAGGUAGUGUGCCAGCAUCCAGUGGUAGGUCUGGAAGUCCUCCCCUGAAGCCAGGACAAGUAGGAGCCUGGGGCCAGUUUGUUGAUGGCUAAUGGGAGAUUGGGGGAGGGAAACGAGUUGGGAUGCAGCUGGUGGAGAUCACUGUCCAGUGACAGGGUGGGGAGUCUGCUGUCAGUGCCUGAGUGAAGGUAGUCACUCCCUCCCCUCAUGUUUAACAGGGUAGAAGGUGGAAUCAAUGUCCUGUGAUGGGGGUGGAGUAGAAGGUUCAGUGAUUGUGUGACUAGGAGAAGGAAGUGAACCGGGUAGUCCUGGUAGUGCACUGGAGGAGUUGAGAUCAAUGUGUGUGGGGGUCACUGUUUGGGUAUCUGAGAAGUGGGCUGGAGGGGGUGAGGCUAGAUGUGAAUGAGACGUCAAGGACUGGUAGAGAGGAAGGAGUUGGUAUGUAGGUAAGGCAGGGUCAUAGGAAGGAUGUGGUGUCUUUGUUGAUGGGUGGUUGGGGUCAACGUUUAGUUUAAGGAGGUGAUGGGUCAGUGUGCAGUAUCUGCCUCUCUUCUGCAGGCAGAAGUGUGACUGCUCCCCUGUUCUUUCUCCAGGAGGCCAUGUCUGGAGAGGAUUCUGAAGUUCGAGCAGUGUCUGAAGGGGGCUCCAAUGGAGGCAGUGGUUCACCUAGCCCUGGGGACACACUACCCUGGAACCUUGGUAAAACACAGAGGAGCAGGAGGAGCGGAGGUGGCUCUGGGGGCAACGGCAGUGUCUUGGACCCUGCAGAGCGGGCUGUCAUCCGCAUUGCAGGUAACGUAGAAGUACCUGGUCUGCCCAGCUCGUUAACACAGGCCUGUUGAUUAAGCACCUGCUGUGUGCUGCGUGCAGGUGUUUGGAUUGACUGGAUGAAAGGCCAAAGGAAAACUGUUGUUAGGGAGGGCUUCUCUUGUUCCAGGUGAGUGCAGGUAGUACAGCGCCACCUGCUGGCCCCCCAGGUAGCUGCACAAGCCUAAGGCAGGACUUCUUGCUACAUACAGCCCUACCAUCUCUGGCUUCAUAACAAGGGUCCAGAUGUGAUGGUGAUAAUUCCUUGGGGUCCUGGAGCUAAACUGCUCACCAUGCCCCCCGGUUUUGGCUGCCACCCAGGAGCGCAUGGAAGUAGAACAAGAGGAGAUACCUGGUCAGCCAGAGUCCAGCUUUGCCUACCAGUCUGAGGAGGAAGAUGAGAAAAAUCCAGCAAGAAGGCCAGGGGAGGUUGGCAGGCAGUCUAUCCCUUUGGGAAGUAAGUGACCUAGGGCUGGAGGCCAUUGGGCAGAAUAUAUCAAGCAAGGGAGUACGGACGGUAUUCCAUCCACUAGGACCCUCAGGGGCUUAUGAAGCAUAUGAAAGGCAUGGUAGGUCCAGGAGGCCAGGAAGGUAGACCAAGGUGUGAGGGAGAGGACUGGAAAGCCAGCUGCCCAGUGGGGAGGUGAUGCUGCAGGCAUCGAGGAAGUUUGCUGUUGGAAGUGAAGCAACAGCUUGUGGAAAUAGGAGCAGAGAAGAGUAAUGGACAUGCUCUUGCUACCCUGACCCCUGCCCCCGGGGUCAUGUGCUUGUGCAGGAACCUAUGAUCUUUCUCAUUUCAUGUAGGAUUUUGUGUGUGUGUGUGUGUGUGUGGUGCUGGGGGAUUGAACCCAGGGCCUUGUGCAUGUGAGCUAUAUCCGCAGCCCUCAUGUAGAAUUUUAAUUGAGGUCAUUUUUUUCCCACUUGAAAGAGAAUCAUGAAUGUCCUCCCCAUGGACCUUUAAUGAUGCAAAGGGGUGGGGGCUGCAUCUUAGCAGCCACUUAAGGUGGUCUUUGGCAUUCAUGUGCUAGCUAUGCUCUAGCCAGCACCCCUGGCAGGGUCUUUGUGUUUUCCUCUGAUUAUUUUCUCAGGAUUGAUUCCUAGAAGAGGGACUUCUGCUCACAGGGCUCACAGGAUUUAACGUUAGGAGAAACACUGCCAGGAGUGGUCCAGAAAGCCAUCUGUCAAUGUGGGGAGACAGAGGGCCUUGCCAGUCUGAUGGGUGGAAAGGAAUUGUGCUAUCAUUUAUUACCAAGCUUUCUUUUUUACUUCUGUAAAUCGUUUACUCUUGUCAUCUUAUGUACAGAUUUUUUUUUUUUUACUUGCGUUUAAAGGACUCUUUGCCUACCAGAGAUAUCAACUCUGUCUCCAAUACUGCAAUGGAAGAAUUCUAAGUAAAGGCAAAGGGGGGGAAGGGGAGCGCGCGGGCGGCCCAGUGAGGUCGCACUGGCUGGGGCCAGGGAGCUGGAGGACGCUGACCUGGGACCCAGGAGAAACAGAGCUGCGGGAGGGCCGCAUCCCGGUCUGGAGCGGGAAGGGGCGUGCGCCCGCGGGACCCGCGUGGGACCGAAACUCGGAGCCCGCUGAGCAGCGCCCAGGGGC
RNAcentral lists this long non-coding RNA (11645 nucleotides) under Marmota monax (woodchuck). Lineage: Eukaryota; Metazoa; Chordata; Mammalia; Rodentia; Sciuridae. The record is from RNAcentral.